RNAcentral lists this unclassified non-coding RNA (1146 nucleotides) under Bombus terrestris (buff-tailed bumblebee). RNAcentral's name for it is "misc RNA ENSBTSG00005023103.1". The record is from RNAcentral. Lineage: Eukaryota; Metazoa; Arthropoda; Insecta; Hymenoptera; Apidae.
UUCGUCUAUUAGGUUUAACACAUCUCGAGAGCGUAACCUUCACUGUCUUUUGUGCACAAGAGAUAUAAGUAUAUCUUCAUUAGUUUUUCGAUGGAUAACAGAAUAAAAGAUAUAUUCAUUGUAAAGUGUAUAUAAUUAAUGUACAAACAAUGUGUAAGUUAUGUAGAUACCCGUAAUUUCAAAGUUCAAGAUGCUUAUAAAAUACAAGGUUUUACUCUUCAAGGUUUUAAAGAUCGAGCGACCGAGGUCAACAACUACGCGUCACGAUUAACGAAAACCAAAAUGAAAGUUUCAAAUAAGAAAAGCUCGAGUCGUUUGUUUCCUUGUACAAAGGAGAUUCGAAUAUUGAUAAUUUCGUAUAUGGAUUGGAUACGUAUAAAUUUACACCUCAUGUUUUUUGUCUGAUACAACCAUAUACCAUUAAUUAUGUAAAUUAACUUAUAAUAUAUACAUUGUUUUAAAUGAAGCAAUAGUCUUGGAUUAAAUUAAACCAGACAAAAGGAUACUAUAUUGUUAAAAAAAUUAGUAAUUUAAAUAUUAAUUACAUAUUAAUUAUUUAUAUUAUUUAUAGUAUUUUAUCAUUAUUAAAUAUUCGGAGUUUUCGUUGAUAAAAAUAAGCAUAUAAAAAAUACUAAAUUUAAUUAUGACAGCUUCUCGUGUGUCAUACGCUAUACAUAUAUGACAUAUAUAGAGACGAAGAUAAUGUUUUCCGUAAAUCUCACCGGGGAAAACCCAUUAAUUACAUAUGCAUUGUAGUAGACUUAUUACUUUCAACAUGACUAAUAAUAGCAUGUAAACGUAAUGGAAAUAACGAUUUAAUAAUAAUUAGAAUCACGUUUACUACAUUGCGUAGUUACAGUGAUCAGUAUUAUCAUAUGAUAUCGUACUAUCGCUGUCAACGGUAUUUAUCGAUAGACAAAUUGCCUUUGUUUCGUAACACAUUUUAUGAAUGUGACAAAUAUAAUUGUUUUUCUAACGUAAUCACGAUUAUCUUGAUUUUAUGUAAAUUUUACAAUUGUCAAUAUAGAUUAUUAUGUAAAUAUUUUUUAAGCAUAUUUGUAUAAUAAAUAUUUGUAUAAUAAAUAUUUAUACAUUAAGUUAAUACUUUAUAUUUUACUAUUUCACCAAUGUACUUUUGUAAUUCUG